Molecule: ribosomal RNA, 119 nt
Filed under: Pteropus alecto (black flying fox)
Lineage: Eukaryota; Metazoa; Chordata; Mammalia; Chiroptera; Pteropodidae
Source: RNAcentral
GUUUACAGCCAUGACACCCUGAAAAUGCCCGAUCUCAUCUGAUCUCAGAAGCUAAGCAGGGUCCAGCCUGGUUAGUAUUUGGAUGGGAGACCACCUAGGAAGACCAAGUGCUAUAGGCU